This 311-nucleotide ribosomal RNA is filed under the name uncultured bacterium. RNAcentral's name for it is "partial 16S ribosomal RNA". It matches the Rfam family "Bacterial small subunit ribosomal RNA", at positions 355 to 682 of the family's 1533-position model. The record is from RNAcentral.
UGGGGAAUAUUGGACAAUGGGGGCAACCCUGAUCCAGCAAUGCCGCGUGUGUGAAGAAGGUCUUCGGAUUGUAAAGCACUUUUCGACGGGGACGAUGAUGACGGUACCCGUAGAAGAAGCCCCGGCUAACUUCGUGCCAGCAGCCGCGGUAAUACGAAGGGGGCUAGCGUUGCUCGGAAUGACUGGGCGUAAAGGGCGUGUAGGCGGUUUACACAGUCAGAUGUGAAAUCCCCGGGCUUAACCUGGGAGCUGCAUUUGAUACGUGUAGACUAGAGUGUGAGAGAGGGUUGUGGAAUUCCCAGUGUAGAGGU